AGUGAACGCUGGCGGUAGGCCUAACACAUGCAAGUCGAACGGCAGCACAGUAAGAGCUUGCUCGUACGGGUGGCGAGUGGCGGACGGGUGAGGAAUACAUCGGAAUCUACUUUUUCGUGGGGGAUAACGUAGGGAAACUUACGCUAAUACCGCAUACGACCUACGGGUGAAAGCAGGGGAUCUUCGGACCUUGCGCGAUUGAAUGAGCCGAUGUCGGAUUAGCUAGUUGGCGGGGUAAAGGCCCACCAAGGCGACGAUCCGUAGCUGGUCUGAGCGGAUGAUCAGCCACACUGGAACUGAGACACGGUCCAGACUCCUACGGGAGGCAGCAGUGGGGAAUAUUGGACAAUGGGCGCAAGCCUGAUCCAGCCAUACCGCGUGGGUGAAGAAGGCCUUCGGGUUGUAAAGCCCUUUUGUUGGGAAAGAAAAGCAGCAGGUUAAUACCCCGCUGUUCUGACGGUACCCAAAGAAUAAGCACCGGCUAACUUCGUG
RNAcentral lists this ribosomal RNA (492 nucleotides) under uncultured bacterium. Its description in RNAcentral is "partial 16S ribosomal RNA". It matches the Rfam family "Bacterial small subunit ribosomal RNA", at positions 29 to 507 of the family's 1533-position model. The record is from RNAcentral.